RNAcentral lists this ribosomal RNA (213 nucleotides) under uncultured bacterium. Its description in RNAcentral is "partial 16S ribosomal RNA". It matches the Rfam family "Bacterial small subunit ribosomal RNA", at positions 524 to 736 of the family's 1533-position model. The record is from RNAcentral.
UACGUAGGGUGCGAGCGUUGUCCGGAAUUAUUGGGCGUAAAGGGCUCGUAGGCGGUUUGUCGCGUCGGGAGUGAAAACCUCGGGCUUAACUCGGGGCUUGCUUUCGAUACGGGCAGACUGGAGGUAUGCAGGGGAGAACGGAAUUCCUGGUGUAGCGGUGAAAUGACGCAGAGUAUCAGGAGGAACACCGGUGGCGAAGGCGGUCUCUGGCAG